UACGUAGGGGGCAAGCGUUGUCCGGAUUUAUUGGGCGUAAAGAGCGUGUAGGCGGCCAUACAGGUCCGUUGUGAAAACUGGAGGCUUAACCUCCAGACGUCGAUGGAAACCGUAUGGCUAGAGUCCGGAAGAGGAGAGUGGAAUUCCUGGUGUAGCGGUGAAAUGCGUAGAUAUCUGGAGGAACACCGGUGGCGAAGGCGACAUCCUGGACCGGUAUUGACGCUGAGGCGCGAAAGCCAGGGGAGCAAACGGG
RNAcentral lists this ribosomal RNA (253 nucleotides) under uncultured bacterium. RNAcentral describes it as "partial 16S ribosomal RNA". It matches the Rfam family "Bacterial small subunit ribosomal RNA", at positions 524 to 776 of the family's 1533-position model. The record is from RNAcentral.